RNAcentral lists this long non-coding RNA (617 nucleotides) under Phoenix dactylifera (date palm). Its description in RNAcentral is "long non-coding RNA (PDAC_LNC009192)". The record is from RNAcentral. Lineage: Eukaryota; Viridiplantae; Streptophyta; Magnoliopsida; Arecales; Arecaceae.
CUCCCCCUUUUUGAUGAUUACAAAAUAAAGAGUAUGAGCCUAUUGAUACUUAUCUUAAAAUUAGUUUUAAAAGGGCUUAACUUGCUGAAAUUCAGCUUUUCAAAAUAUAAGAGUGAAGUCUCCCCCUAUAUCAUUCAAAUGUUGCCAAUUUGACUUUUUGAAUUGCUCCCCCUUUCAUUUAUAAUUCAUUAAAGAUGAAACUCCAAAAAUUUGAGAUAAAACAUGAGUUUCAGGUUAUGUAUCGAGAUGUGAAAGGUGCGUGCCAAAUUCUGAAAUUCUAUGUGCCAAAUUCUGAGAUUUGAUAGAAAUUUUUGAUUUGAUCAUUUUCAUUGUUACAAAUUGCUCCCCCUUAAAUGUAUAUGCUUUCCUAUAUAAUUUUUAAUUUGUUUUACUAGUAAUUUCCUUUUUUUUCUUACACAAUUUCUUAUUUCUCCUUGUUAUUUCUCUUUCUUUACUUCAACUUCUUAUUACUCUUUCUUUACUUCUCCCUCUUUUUGUUAUCAUCAAAUAGGUGCAUGGAAAAAGACACAAUAAAUAACAAACAUUCAAACUUCAUUGAUCAAAAUAGAAACAUUUUAGUACAUUCAUGCCAAAAACAAAAGCAAUUACAAUGUUCC